Leucoraja erinaceus (little skate) is the source of this 2411-nucleotide long non-coding RNA. RefSeq lists it as uncharacterized. The record is from RefSeq and is a predicted model, not a curated record. NCBI's taxonomy places the organism in Eukaryota, Metazoa, Chordata, Chondrichthyes, Rajiformes, Rajidae. The transcript is spliced from 2 exons.
AAAGUCUCCAGAGGUUUCCAUUCAGGUUUCCUAAGUGGGACAGGGGCAUAACUCAGCGGGACAGGCAGCAUCUCUGGAGAGAAGGAAUGGGUGAUGUUUCGGGUCGAGACCCUUCUUCAGACUGAGAGUCAAUGCAGGGAUAUGGAGCGGUAAGGGUUUUGAAACUAGACAUCUUAGGGGACGAAGAUUAAAGAAAAUGUAGCAUCGAUGAUUGGUAGCUCGGGGAAGUUGGCAAGGCAGCAUACAAAGAUAACAUUUAAUCAGGAGGACAGUCUGAGAACUAGGACGGGGGGAGGGAUAGAGAGAGUGGGAAAGCAAGGGAGAAGUCAAUAUUCAUACCUCCGAAGGACAUGGAUAGGUGAAUAUUUGGGCCAGGACCCAUCAUCAGUUACUGUAGCACUUUUCUUGCAAAUGAGCAUCUGCAGUUCUUAAUUUCCCCAUUCAAUGCAGCGUGGUCACUUCUGAGUAAUUUUAUGGAAUGUUUUAACUUUUGAAAUCAAGUGCUGGAGUAACUCAGCGGGUCAGGCAGCAUCUCUGGGGAACAUGGAUAGGUGACGUCUUGGGUCGAAACUCUUCUUCAAACCGAGUUACUCUAGCAGAUUGUUUUUUUGGGGGGUAAACCAGCACCUGCAGUUCCUCGCUUCGCCAUUCACUGUAGAGUGGUCACGGAGUCAUUUUAUGGAAUAUGUACAUUUGAAGUCAAGAGUUCGGACAAUGUCUCUGUGAUAAAAUUCACCCUUGGAACUGAUCCAUUGUUAUUCCCCAUGGAGUGAGGGGUUUAUCAGCUUUGUCAGAACCAGUUUAAAAAAUAAAUCUUUGAUGCCAAAGCUUUUCCAGUGUAUCGUGCUAUGUGUGGAAUAAUAAACCAGUAACAAUAAAUUGAAGACACAAAGUGCUGAAGUAACUCGGACGGGCCAGGCAGCAUCUCUGGAGAAAAAGGAUGGGUCAUGUUUCGUGUCGGGACGCUUUAGACAGCAGGAGCAACGAGGUCCUUCUGCAGUUGUACAGGGCCAAAGUGAGACAACACCUGGAGUAUUGUGUGCAGUUUUGGUCCCCUAAUUUGAGGAAGGAUAUCCUUGCUAUUGAGGGGGUGCAGCGUAGGUUGACAAGGUUAAUUCCCGGGAUGGCGGGACUGUCAUAUGCUGAGAGAAUGGAGCAGCUGGGCUUGUACACUCUGGAGUUUAGAAGGAUGCGAGGGGAUCUUAUUGAAACAUAUAAGAUUAAGGGUUUGGACUCACUAGAGGCAGGAAACAUGUUCCCGAUGUUGGGGGAGUCCAGAACCAGGGGCCACAGUUUAAGAAUAAGGGGUAAGCCAUUUAGAACGGAGACGAGGAAACACUUUUUCUCACAGAGAGUGGUGAGUCUGUAGAAUUCUCUGCCUCUGAGGGCGGUGGAGGCCGGUUCUCUGGAUGCUUUCAAGAGUCAAGUGAUAUGGGGAGAAGGCAGGCACGGGUUGAUACGGGACGAUCAGCCAUGAUCACAAAGAAUGGCGGUGCUGGCUUGAAGGGCCGAAUGGCCUCCUCCUGCACCUAUUUUCUAUGUUUCUAUAGCUAGAUAGGGCUCUUAAAGAUAGCGGAGUCAGGGGAUAUGGAAAGAAGGCAGGAACGGAGUACUGAUUGGGGAUGAUCAGCCAUGAUCACAAUGAAUGACGGUGCUGGCUCGAAGGGCCGAAUGGCCUACUCCUGCACCUAUUGUCUAUUGUUAUGAUGAACCGUGUCAGCAGCAAUUAAAUUUAUAAGGUACAUUCCAAUAUCGCCCUGAAUUACUUGAAAACUGAUGUUACAAAAUGACUAAUGGCUAAGGAGAUCAGAGGGUAUGGAGAGAAGGCAGGAACGGGGUACUGAAUGUGGAUGAUCAGCCAUGUUCACAUUGAAUGGCGGUGCUGGCUCGAAGGACCAAAUGGCCUACUCCUGCACCUAUUGUCUAUUGACUGAUUUUCGUGACAUUUACAAGGAACCAAGCAAGCGUUCAAUAACACCAGAAACAAAUAAUUAAAACAUGAACUUUAUUGGUUGGUAUGGUUAGGCAUUCUGUUCUUAAGAUAGUGAAGUGUUUAGACACCCCACCAUAUCAGGGUAAAGCAGGCAUCCAAAAAAAUGCUUCAGGUUCUACACAUUACGUCACACUUUGGCAAGUGAAGAGCAUGGGGGUCUGAACUAAGCACUUCCAAAACACUUUAUAAAAUUACACUUUUUUCUUCAUUUGUCCUCCCCCAAUCCUCCAAUUACAUUUUUGGCCAUACUUAAAGUUAAUGGCUUGCAAGUUCUCCUUUAAGGCACUUUAAUCCAAAUCCAAUUCAAGCCUCAAUAUAGUGCAAAUCCUGAUCACCCAUACCCGGAUGACAGCGAGAUAAUCUGCAGGUACAUCUACAAGGUACUGUACAGUGAACAUUUCAGUGCAAUACAUUAAAG